RNAcentral lists this long non-coding RNA (3421 nucleotides) under Pelobates cultripes (western spadefoot toad). The record is from RNAcentral. Lineage: Eukaryota; Metazoa; Chordata; Amphibia; Anura; Pelobatidae.
GUUGAGGAACACAUAGUAUUUAUUUAUUGAUAGAACAAUAAAGAUAAUGACAUCAUACUUUCAGAACUACAAGUUGAACUACUGUUGAUUGUAAUUAACUUAUAUUUCACUUUUCUUUAUAAGGUGAAUGAUAAUUAUUUGAGGUGUUUUUUUACACCUAUUACAUAGGAUAUGUUGAUUGUAGCAUAACCACUUUUUGCCUUCAAAAAUGUUUUAACAAAGAUAAAAACAUACAUACAGGUCAUGCUUUUCACAGCAGUAUGUUUUUAAAUUCUGUGUACUUGUUGAUACGUCUUGCUAGUGUCGUUUCACUGCACUGUUAAACCACAUGAAUGCAUUGCUUAUAUUAACAGAUACAAAAAUGAUCCAUGUAAUCAAGUGAUCAAGGAAAUUCAUCAGGUUUCACCAAAGUUCUGUACUUUUAAUAUAAGAUAUAAGGGUGUAUAUAGUAAAUAAAAGACUGACUGAGUUCCCUAGAAACCUUAAUUCUAGAUAAGUAAUAUGUUUAAAAGUAUACAUUUGGAUAGAACAAUAAACAUAGUAACACCACAAAUUAUUUGAUGCAUUAAUUUUCAUGACGCAGUCCUUUAAAUAUUAGAAAAGUCCCUUCCCUAUGUGUUCCCGUCUGGGAUGGGAAGGUUUAAUCGUAUGGUGUAUAGAGGUUAUGGGGUUACAGAGGUUAUAGGGUGUAGGGUGGGACUCAUUUCCUCUUGAGGUUGAGCAUUGGCAGUUGGUUUAUUCUGUGACAAAUAUGUAUUAUCAUAUGUAGUGCACCGGUACAAAGAUUAUACUGAUAGUAUUUAUGAUUGUAAUAAGCCUGUCUUGGAAAAAAGACACUUAAAAAAAGAAAUGUUAGUUAAUUAUGCCUCUGUGAGCUUGGUGUAUGAACUUCAAAGCCAUUUACCAUCCUUAUCGCAGCAUAACAUCAACUGUAUCGCUGCAUUAGCUAAUCCAGGCAGGUGCCAAAAAAGACUUAUUGCAUGGGUGCAUGUGAGAUGUGUACACUCAUACAAUUUUGACAUAGACAAAGAUACAAUAUCAACAAAAAUAACUUGCUUUUCAACAAUUGUUCUGAAAACAAAUUAAUUAACUGAGAGAAGAUCUUGUGAAAAAGUGCUACAUUUUUGGGACGCCAUCUGGAAAUGUUGCAAUAGAUUAUAACAAUUCACGUUAAUGCUGCAGUUCCCAUAUCCCCUUAGACCUAAUAUUAAAACAUGCAAAUUCAUUUUUACUCUAUAAAUUCACACCAAGAAAAGGUGAAAAUGUAUUCAAAACUGCUCACAAGAGAUUAACAUGUUCCCCUGUUAACCUAACAAUUGUAACACAAGUAGGGGGCCUCCUGCAUUGGACUACUGGCAGUAUACCUCUUGGAUAGGUAUACGUGGGCAUUUUUAAGGGCUACCACCUAUCAUCUGAGCUAGAAAAAUAGAGAAAGGGUGGAAGCAUAAUGUUGCAAUAAUUACAACAACAAAAAAGAAAAUUGUUGUUAAAAAGGAGAUGUUUUUCUAUAUUCUAGUUAUCCUUGGCAGUAUUUAUUCUAAGAUAUGCCCAAGGUGCAGUGAAGUAAAGGUAGGAAAAUGGAGAUCCAGCAAGCAAACUACUGAAAAAUCAGAAACAUUUAUUUGUGAAUUAAUAUCAAGAAUUUUGGACCAAAACUAGCAUACUCUGCUGAAGAUAAACCAACUUGUAUGAUAAAGGUGUUCAAAUACAUCUAAUUAGUCACCUUACAAAUGGUCUCUGUUGAAGACUAGUUCUGCUAUUGUCAAAGUGGCGAAAUAUCUGGUGUAAUGGCUCCAUACAGACAGUAGCAAAAUGGCCACAGUGACUUUCCGGUAGCAAAAAAGAAUAAGGAAAAUGUCCCUAAGGAUAUUUCCUACAAAUGCACACACACAUAAUGGAAGAAGCAACAUCCAGAUUCUGUUAUGAACAUUCCUUAUCCAAAUGUCUAAGUAAAUCGAUAAUAGAAAUUUAUUGAUCGAAAUGUUAUAGAUUGGGGAGAAAAUAAAUCAAAAAUACUUGAACAUCUAUUAAGCAGAACAUCUAGGGCUUGGAGCACAUGCGGCAAAAAAACUAGAGGAAUCGUAAAUCUUAGAAGAUGAAAAAAUGAAGUACUGCAGCCAAAGCAUGUAUUCAAACCUGUCUGAAAGGAAGGUCAAGAUUUUUUUUUGAAUCCAUUAUAAAACAAAUCUCACAAUUUGUGUAAUGUGCAAGAAUAUUUUUGGAACAUCACAAUGUAUCCAUCAAUUCUGCCUAUCUGUGGUGAAAAGGAAAACAAGAAUGAAAGUAGAAGUGGGAGACUUUAUUUAGGUCUUUUCAAGGGACUAUUUCAAGGUUAAGACUCCAAUAUAUAUAAUUUUAAGUUAAGUGGCAGUAUUUGCAAAAAUAAAUAUGUGCUAAAUUUGUCAUAAAUUUGCUCUAUUGAUUAAGAAUGGGGAAAAAAAAUGGCUUUUCUUCCGACACUUAAAAAUAACCAGUAAUGUUCCUUCCUGCUGCUUUGUGGAAUAACAUUUUCUGAGCUUUAAAAUGAGCGUGCUGUCAUUCAUACAGUGUAUUACAUUGUUAAUUUUAUUACCAGAAAUGACAGUCUUCAGAGUUACAAAAUUGCUAGAUCCAAGAAAAACCUAGAUACAGAAAUCUUAGUAUGUGCAUCUCACUGAAAGCAUUUUUCCUUGGGAAACUGAAUUGUCAAUCUCAAGUUUUCCGAUGAUCAAUAAAAUUAAGGCCCCAAUAGCAGCCACAUUGAUUUCUCAAAACAUAUUAUACAUAAUAACCAAAUACAAUUCAUAUUUAAAACCUGAGCUAAAACAUAUGUGUCUUACUGACAGAUAAAUUAAAAUAAAUAAAUAUACAAAUAUAAUACCAGUGUGCUAUACAUAUACGUACUGGUAUGUACAAUAGUAAUAUUAUUAUUGUGCUUGAUUUACUAUUCUAAAGAUAUUAUUCUGGAAUGUUGGAAAAGGUGAAAGCCUUUUUAUUUAUUUUUAUAUGUUUUCUAGCUGCUAGUCUUUUGUACCAAUAUAAAACAAUUAGUAAAGCUGCCAACUCACACAUCAUGUAAAACAUAAUAUUGUGAACUGUUGGGAACUAAAAGUGAAUUUCAAAAUUUAGGCCAUAAGAACUGGAAACAAAAUUCCAUGUUAGUUAUGUUUUAAAUUGGUUAUUUUAAACUAUUUUUAAACUCACUUUGAAUCCACUACAAUUUAUACUUAAGUGAAUAACUCUGUAUAAUAUGGUUUGUUUAUGAAACUGUGAAUUGUGUUGCAUUAAAAACCAAAUUCAAAAUUCAUGCACAAAUUACCAAGGCCUUAAUUUAAUAUUGUUGGAUAUGUUUUCUAAAUUAUUUAAUAUUUUUGGAGAAACAUUUAAAAUUAUUUUAUAUUAUGAAAAAAACAUGUAAUAUUUUUCAUAAAUUGUUUUUUUU